Molecule: long non-coding RNA, 1191 nt
Filed under: Homo sapiens (human)
Lineage: Eukaryota; Metazoa; Chordata; Mammalia; Primates; Hominidae
Description: surfactant associated 3
Source: RNAcentral
UCCGCUAGAAACGCUCUGGGCGCGCACUCCUGGAGACGCGGAGGCCCGGGCGCUCCAGACCAGUGUCCUUGUAGGAGGCUUCUUCACGAAGCUUAGAGUUUGGCCUUUCAUAGGGAAAGACUUGCUCGGGAGCAAGUCUAAGGGAUUUUAAGGGAUUUUAAAUCUUCCUGGGCCAGGGCUAGGGAGCUCUAGUGACAGUGUCUUGGUCUGGAAUCCAACUCUCCAAUUUUGAGGCCGCAGGGAGGAAUUCUGAGACUUUAGAGGCCGCACAGCCUUCAGCGCGCUCACCGCGUCCAGGCGUCAGUGAGGGGCUAUCUCGAGGCGCGAGUGCACAAAAGGUAGCGCGAGUCUCUUCUCAGGCGAUCCAGAUAAGAGGAAAUGAGAGCCGGGUUUUCUGACUUCCAACUCAUUAGGGACCAGGUUCUUUUUCUUCAGGAUCAGGCACAGAGACUGACUGAAUGGCUCCAAUUAUCAGGAUUUGAAAACCCAGUAUCAGAAUCUACCACUUUGUAUGGAGGAGGGGAGGAGACGAGUGGGGACCAGCUUGACAUCCAGUCUUCACCUGGACAUAUGGAAAGAACAAAUGUGCGAUCUGCUCGUUCCCUCUGAAGGUCUCUGUUACGUAUUUCCUCCUCUCCUCCAGAGCAUAAUAACCAAUGACUGCUCUCAGAAAGAACAGGCCUGAGGGAGAGGGAAAAGCGGAUACCCACCUGUGUCGCUGUUUGCGUGCCAAGUCCAGGAACAGUCCAUACAGCCCUGCUGCAUCCCACGACGCUGUCACAAAGCAGGAGUUCAUCCGAGGCCAAGAUGGAGAAACUGAGGCCCAGAAAUUGAUGUCCAGAAUGCUUUGCUCUUAGCCACUGUACUAUUAUGGCAUAUUUUAUCUUUAUGUAUUGCAUCAUUUCAUGGAUUCAAGUUUAUCAAUGUCCUUUGACAAGUUUAAAAAUCUGUCUGCUAAAAUCUAUCCAAUACAUUAAGGAAAAGUCCCACUUGGCACAUCUCCCACACCAGAUGUUAAUUAUUCAUACUGCAUGACUGAGGAUUUUGGAGGCAGAGAGAGAUUCAUCUGCAAUAUUUGGAACACCAAUGGAGGUCUACGUCAACACAGAAUUUAUACAGCAGCUGGUGCUAGUCAGAGCUAAUGACAGAAUUUCAGUUUAAUAAAAAGACCCCCAACUGAGCACACCAUCU